ACUCCUGAGAUGGUGAAGAAGGCCGUCUUCCCUGCCUCGAACCUCAGGCUGCAGUGGUCAUCGGAGGCCAGCGGCUUCUCGUUCUUCAGCCAGGACACCUCAGGGGUUGGGUCGCCCCACACAUUGCAACUCCCUGGACCCCUUCCGGCCUGUGCUGGUGCUGAGGUGAUUGGCCCAAAGGCAUCCUCAGUAAAAUCUCACCGGCCCUGUUGAAACUCUUCUAAAACACCGGCAUUCGGCUGCACUUUGACUUGGCCUUACCAAGAAAAGGAAAGACUCACAUGGAACUCUGAGAAGCACCCCAGAGGCUUGCGUUAGUGUGUGAGAUGGCUCUGUUUGACGGAAAGAAGAGUACAAGCCAGAGAAGUGGCUCAGUGGGUAAAGAUGCUUGCUGCCAAACUGGGUGACCCAAGUUCAACUUACCCCCCCAGUACCACACUGCGGAAGAACGGAGAGCUGCGAGUGGUGCUUUGUGCUCUGGCUGCCACAUACACGCUAUGGCACGUCCUCCAAUAAGUAAACAUGUGCAUAUAAUAAUUUUUAAAUGAGUCAAAUCAUUGUCAUUCAAUGUAUCUGAACAG
Meriones unguiculatus (Mongolian gerbil) is the source of this 581-nucleotide long non-coding RNA. RefSeq lists it as uncharacterized. The transcript has 3 exons. NCBI's taxonomy places the organism in Eukaryota, Metazoa, Chordata, Mammalia, Rodentia, Muridae. The record is from RefSeq and is a predicted model, not a curated record.